GAAAACAUGAAUUCAGAAGAUGGCUCUGCACUCCCAAGGCAUCCUAGAGCCAGGAGAUCAACCCAGCAUGACAGACACAUGGUUCACCCUCCCGGUGCCCCAGGAGCUCCAAAAUCCCCAUCUGGAUCCGUGACAUAUCCAGGACCUCAGCGCCCAAAG
This is a long non-coding RNA of Lagopus leucura (white-tailed ptarmigan), 159 nucleotides long. RefSeq lists it as uncharacterized. The record is from RefSeq and is a predicted model, not a curated record. The transcript is spliced from 3 exons. Lineage: Eukaryota; Metazoa; Chordata; Aves; Galliformes; Phasianidae.